This 123-nucleotide ribosomal RNA is filed under the name Halobacterium salinarum. RNAcentral also lists the same sequence under 2 other names. The record is from RNAcentral. Lineage: Archaea; Methanobacteriati; Methanobacteriota; Halobacteria; Halobacteriales; Halobacteriaceae.
UUAAGGCGGCCAUAGCGGUGGGGUUACUCCCGUACCCAUCCCGAACACGGAAGAUAAGCCCGCCUGCGUUCCGGUCAGUACUGGAGUGCGCGAGCCUCUGGGAAAUCCGGUUCGCCGCCUACU